CUGAAGUUUAACCUUCCAUCACCUGGACUGGCAGUUUAUAGUGGUUUUGACUCUAAUUUUGCAAACUGGACGUUAAAUAAAGAGUAAUUUUAGAAGAUGACUUGCCUUUGUGGUCAAGGUCCUUACUUUCUUUAUGUUGUGGUUCCAUCGAUCUGGUAAUGGUGUUCAGUUUGGGUUUAAGGAUCGGCUUACUUUGUGGUAGAG
This 204-nucleotide unclassified non-coding RNA is filed under the name Hevea brasiliensis (rubber tree). Lineage: Eukaryota; Viridiplantae; Streptophyta; Magnoliopsida; Malpighiales; Euphorbiaceae. The record is from RNAcentral.